Molecule: long non-coding RNA, 2198 nt
Organism: Arachis ipaensis
Lineage: Eukaryota; Viridiplantae; Streptophyta; Magnoliopsida; Fabales; Fabaceae
Source: RefSeq, a predicted model, not a curated record
UGUAUUAUCCCUAUUUUUAUUUGAAAUUACAAAACUAUCCUUAAACCUAAUUUUUACCUAAACCCUAAUUUCCAAAUUGGGAAAACCCUAACCCGGUUACCCUUUCCCCAACCCAGCAGCAACAAACACACACAAACACAACAAGCACACACAGCAAAACACACGCACCCACUCACUGCAACAGAGAAGAAAUGGGAGGCAGAAGUAGGGGAAGAAGAGAAGAGGAGGGGGAAGACUGCACCGGCGUGCUGGGCCUCACUGCUGCCAUCGAGCCAUCAUUUCACCAAAGAAGGAAAAGAGCAUCGCGCCUGCCAUGAGCUUGCCGUCGCCGUGGAGCCAUCGCGGUCGAGCCGAGUCCAGAGGAGGGUUCCAGGUAGCAGCUGCCGCGCGCGAGCUAUAGGAGCUCGUCCUCGCUGAUCUGCCGCCAUUGGAGUCGCGCACAGAGGACGCGCGAAGGGGAGUUGUCGUGAAGCCCGUCACCGCCGCUGUUGAACCCGCGCCAUCGUCGUUCUUGUCAUGGAGUCAUCGCCGUCACUUAUGGCAGAGCCAGAGAGAGAGAGUUCGGGAGCAGUGCAGACGAGAGAGAUCUGAGGCUAAGCUGGGGGUCCAACCACCGUGCCCAGCCACUGUUCGCGUCGCCUCCAUCGGAACCGCCGCCGUCACUGCCAGCUUUCAUCUCCAUCGUGGUUGAUUAUGGAUGACAGGGGACGAAGCUGCCUCUACCGCCGGAGAAGGCUCUGCCGUUGAUCCAUUCUGAGCCAUAAUCAUCGCCGUUAGGCUGACUCUGAGGCUUUCCACUGCCACCAGAGCUGCCUAGAACCACCACUAUGGCUGCCGUGGGAACAGAACGGGUACCAGAAUCUGACAGCGCCGCUGCCAUCGAUAAGAGAUACCAAAACAGCCGCCGUUGCUUACCGUUCUGAGCUGCUACACCGUUAUUACUGCCGUUCGGGUCAUCGGGUGUAGCACGGUUGUUGCCUGAACUACCGCCAGGGAUACCACUGCUUGAUUCAGCCGUUCUUUCUUAGUUUCGUGUUGCUUUGGUUACCGCAAAAGUGGCUUGGAGCUGAGGUUGCGGUUGUCGGUGAUUUCGGGUUGAGAGAGAAUGUUCCUGUGAUGCGUUUAGGUUAUGGUUUCGACGAGUCGAGGAUAUGGACGCAGAAGUCACGAAGAGUUUAUCUAGUUGUCGUAAUGUUUUGUAUUGCUUUAGUUAUUAUUUAUUGUUCCCUCACCUUUAUCUUUAUACAUUCUGUAAGAGGGAUAGGAAUUGUAUUAGUUAAUGCUUGUAAAAUUAUUUAAUAUAUAUACAUAUGUAUGUAUUCUUUGUGAGUUUUGUAAGUUGUAUGGUAUGUAUGGAUGUACGUUACCCAACAAAAGUAUUUUGAAGCGGUAUUGCGGUUUAAAGUUUUAAACAGGCUCAUAUUUUAGUAUUAAAUAUUAUAAGGGCCGUCGUAAUACCCGAGCUAUCAAAGUGGCGCAGACGGAAGUGUGACAUUUUGAUAGCUAGGGUGUUACAUUAUUAAUGCAUUCACAGUCGCAUCUCCAAAGUUCAAACAUACACCAAUUGAUUGUAAAAUAUAAAGUUCAAUGCAGACACAUGUAACUUUUUUUUAUGUUGAACCAUAUAGAUGAUAACAACAUAGUUACUACCAGAGUCAAAUACUGUUCGAUGCAUGAUUGGAUUAAACUGAAAAGAAAUAUUGCAUUACCGAAGGGAGAAAGAGAUCCUCACCUUUCAAACACUAACACUACAAGAAAAAAAUCAAAUUUCCCAAACUAGAUCAUUGAUGCAGUUCCACAACAAGAUCUUUCCAAAUUACUCACUUUCUGGACGACGAAACCAUGACAAAUAACAACAAAGCCUUUUCCUCAACUAGAUCAGUUAGCUACAUGAAUCAAACUAUGCCAGUUUGUCCUACCUCUGCAACCCAUCACCAAAAAAACAUGCACUAAGAAGAUCAUAUUCAAAUCUAGUCACACUGAAAAUCCCAAUUCUACAAAGAAACAAAUGCUAAAGCAGAGUGCAGAGUAUUAAAGAAAUAAUUUUAUAUCCUCCUACUAAAUGAAACAAGUAUUGAUUAAUUCUUACAAGUAUAAAAUACCGACUACAUUUAAUUUUCACUCUAUUUAGCAUCAUGAUAUAGCACUACUCGUCAAAAAAACAAAGUUUCUUUCUUACAAAAAUUGAAUGAAUAAUU